AGCAGAUCAACUUUUGUACAGAUAAUUAUCAGACUCAAGUUACAAAUGCUGGAAAACACUCAAAUACAUUUAGUUAAAACAGUUUGACAAAAGUAGUGCACUGGGCCUUUACUAGUCCUGUAUUAGUGGAUCGAUACAGACUUCUUCAGUGGGGGCAAUUCAUCUUUCCCCCCUUGGCAUAAAACAUUUAAUAAAUCACUGCACCCCCAAACUACUUUCCACGGCUAUGUCUGUAUAUAGUUUGUAUUUCCGGUUUUCAUUUUCAUUCCUGUUACAAUUUGCACGUGACAAAGACUUGCACAAUAUUGGCGAGCCUAAACAAAUGGCAAACAAUAACAGUUGAUUGCCAGGAAAUGUGCUUCGGUCAUCAAGUGCAAUGUGUCAACAGAUUGAAAAUACAAGUGACAGAACCUAUUGGCACCGCAAAAAGUCUGGUAAACAAUGCUUUCCUGUGGAUACCCUAUCUCCACCUACCGCCAAAAGGACCGACAGCAUGUACAACCGGUAAAAAGGCCAGACAAGCGAGACAGCUUCAUGUUCAUCAGCCUUUCACUCUCACCCUCUGCCCAAGAAAGAAGAGGAGUGGUAUGUUUCACCAUUCACACACAUGCAGCUCUCUCUUCAGUGUAACAGUAAGGCUGAGGCGGUCCACAUGCUGUGACAGCGUUACCAGGAGCUUGCAGAAUAGAGGAUUCUCG
Oncorhynchus tshawytscha (Chinook salmon) is the source of this 698-nucleotide long non-coding RNA. The record is from Ensembl. NCBI's taxonomy places the organism in Eukaryota, Metazoa, Chordata, Actinopteri, Salmoniformes, Salmonidae.